GCGGUCGCCGCACAGCAUCUGAAACCAGAAAACCUCACAGCAAACAUCUCAAUCUUGUAAAACAGCCCAAGUGUCCAUUUGAUGCGUUGUGUGUAAUUGCAUACUUAGAUUUACAAAACCUGCCAGACUGUUCCUAUAGGAGCAAAGACUGCCCGCAGGUACUGUCCUGCCAACACAGCGGGGUGUCACCCCAGGACCUUGCCUCCGACAGUGCUUCAUCUUCAAGAAGAUUCAUAGGAAGGAUGUUUUAACAAGUACAGAUCUCUGGUAAACUUCAGAUCACACUGCUGACCUAGGACUAAGCAAACUAUAACGAAGGCCUAGCAAUCAGGGGAUGUGGCAGAACCUGGGGCAGUGGAGCCAAAGGUGGAGGACGCGGCCUUUGAGGACAUGCGUGAACCGGCCAGAACCAGCGAGGUCCCGGGCGGCAGAAGA
Molecule: long non-coding RNA, 435 nt
Organism: Bubalus bubalis (water buffalo)
Lineage: Eukaryota; Metazoa; Chordata; Mammalia; Artiodactyla; Bovidae
Exons: 4
Source: RefSeq, a predicted model, not a curated record